CCGUAUAAUCCAAUUGAAGUGGUGUUUUAUUGUCCAGGCAAUGAAGUUAUUGAGGGUUAAAUCCCUAUAUUUUUUCCCAUUUAUUCAUGAGAUGUCUUGAGGAAAGGCCACCGGACCCGAAAGGUUGACUCUGAUUUUUUUUUUACUCUUCACAGACGUUGCCAGACUUUCCUGAGUUUUUCCAGCAGCUUCUGUUUUUAUUCCUGACUUACAGCACCGCAGUUCUCUCGGUUUUCGUGGGAUAUCCGUUCCUGGUUGCCCUUCAGAAGGUGGUGAUCUCUAAUUCUAUGACUUUAGGCUGGACUCUGGUAUCAGAGGGGGACAUACAGAGAAGCGAGCAGCCAGCUGACUUUGCCAGAUACUGUUCAAGUAAAGGAACUUUACGCCUCUCAGUGCUUUUGAAAGUACGAUUAUAAUGUUACAAUCUGCGGUCCAUCUCAAGGCACUUCAUUGGAACAGACAGAUCCAAUAUGCUGAAUCUGCCAUUUUGCUUAAAGUGCUUGAAGACAGCAUAUUUUGGGAAGUUGCCAGACCUGCCAACUUUCUCCAGCAGUUUCUGUCUUUGUAGCAUACUGCCCUCCCACCACCACCCCAGACUGAUUAUAUGCUUUGUCUCUCACCAUCUGCAAGAAGGAGCUACCAGGAAACAAUUGGCCAAAGUAUUUGGACAUGCCUCAUCAUGGCAAAACGUUACCAGGGACAAAGGAAACAACUCUAGAACGUCGUUAAAAUCUUCCCAAGAAAAUGCAACGUCCCCACUGACUUGUGAGAAUCUGUACCCCAAAACUGCCCAAACUGGAGAAGAAGCAUCCACUGUAUGCCCAGUUUUUUUAAGUAUCUUUGAGCAGCGCAGUUCUAGAUCAAAUAAAAACAGUGAGAGUAGCGUCACAAACCUGAGCAUCCCAGCAACAUACUUCUUCAAACGCCAUCUAUCCUCCUUCAAUAGGAUGCACAGAUCCAACAUUGGACUAUUCAGCCACCUCAGCAUCCACAACACUGGAUUGGUAGAAAGUUAUCUUUAAUCUCGAGGGGCUAUCUAAGGAAGGAACGUUUUGUAGUAGUUCUGAAAAUCUCAACCCCCGGCGGGGUCUCUCGAUUCAGCAAUCGGUCA
Molecule: long non-coding RNA, 1111 nt
Organism: Stegostoma tigrinum
Lineage: Eukaryota; Metazoa; Chordata; Chondrichthyes; Orectolobiformes; Stegostomatidae
Exons: 6
Source: RefSeq, a predicted model, not a curated record